CCCAGACUCCUACGGGAGGCAGCAGUGGGGGAUAUUGCACAAUGGGGGGAACCCUGAUGCAGCGACGCCGCGUGGGUGAAGGAGCGUUUCGGCGCGUAAAGCCCUAUCGGCAGGGAAGAAGGAGGACGGUACCUGACUAAGAAGCCCCGGCUAACUACGUGCCAGCAGCCGCGGUAAUACGUAGGGGGCAAGCGUUAUCCGGAUUUACUGGGUGUAAAGGGGGCGCAGACGGCAGCGCAAGCCAGGAGUGAAAGCCCGGGGCCUAACCCCGGGACUGCUCUUGGAACUGCGCGGCUGGAGUGCAGGAGGGGCAGGCGGAAUUCCUGGUGUAGCGGUGAAAUGCGUAGAUAUCAGGAGGAACACCGGUGGCGAAGGCGGCCUGCUGGACUGCGACUGACGUUGAGGCCCGAAAGCGUGGGGAGCAAACAGGAUUAGAUACCCUAGUAAC
RNAcentral lists this ribosomal RNA (448 nucleotides) under uncultured bacterium. RNAcentral describes it as "partial 16S ribosomal RNA". It matches the Rfam family "Bacterial small subunit ribosomal RNA", at positions 330 to 794 of the family's 1533-position model. The record is from RNAcentral.